CAAUCGUUCAGUAUCUAGACCUUACUCCAAAUCAGGAAUACUUGUUUGAAAGGAUCAAAGAACUAUCUCAGGGAGGUUGUAUGAGCUCAUUUCGAUGGAACAGAGGUGGCGACUUCAAAGGACGAAAGUGGGAUACAGACCUGCCCACCGAUUCUGCUGUAAGCCCCUAGAUUCUUUCAUUCAUUUAUUUAUUUACUGUUGAUUGACUGACACAGGGUCUUACUCUGUCACCCAGGCUGUAGUGCAGUGGCACAGUCACGUCUCACUGCAGCUUUGAUCUCCCAGGGCUCAAGUGCUCCUCCCAGCUCAGCCUCCCAAGUAGCUGGGACUAGGCCUGAACCACCACACCCAGCUAAUUUUUUUAAUUUUUUGUAGAGAUGGGGUCUCACUUUUUUGCCCAGGCUGGUCUUGAAGUCCUGGGUUCAAGUGAUCCCCCUGCCUCAGCUUCCCAAAGUGCUGGGUUUACAGACACGAGCUACUGUGCCUGACCCUUA
RNAcentral lists this long non-coding RNA (494 nucleotides) under Homo sapiens (human). Its description in RNAcentral is "non-protein coding lnc-ZC3HC1-1:2". Lineage: Eukaryota; Metazoa; Chordata; Mammalia; Primates; Hominidae. The record is from RNAcentral.